RNAcentral lists this ribosomal RNA (492 nucleotides) under uncultured bacterium. Its description in RNAcentral is "partial 16S ribosomal RNA". It matches the Rfam family "Bacterial small subunit ribosomal RNA", at positions 29 to 507 of the family's 1533-position model. The record is from RNAcentral.
AGUGAACGCUGGCGGUAGGCCUAACACAUGCAAGUCGAACGGCAGCACAGUAAGAGCUUGCUCUUACGGGUGGCGAGUGGCGGACGGGUGAGGAAUACAUCGGAAUCUACUUUUUCGUGGGGGUUAACGUAGGGAAACUUACGCUAAUACCGCAUACGCCCUACGGGUGAAGGCAGGGGAUCUUCGGACCUUGCGCGAUUGAAUGAGCCGCUGUCGGAGUAGCUAGUUGGCGGGGUAAAGGCCCACCCAGUCGCGGAUACGCAGCUGGUCUGAGAGGAUGGUCGCCCACCCUGGAACUUGGACACGGUCCAGAGUCCUACGGGAGGCAGCAGUGGGGAAUAUUGGACAAUGGGCGCAAGCCUGAUCCAGCCAUACCGCGUGGGUGAAGAAAGCCUUCGGGUUGUAAAGCCCUUUUGUUGGGAAAGAACAGCAGCAGGUUAAUACCCCGCUGUUCUGACGGUACUCAAAGAAUAAGCACCGGCUAACUUCGUG